CAACACAGCAGAUGGUGAUCCAUGCUGUGGAAGUCUCACAUCUCCUGAUUUAAUGGAGCUGCUUUGCACUUUUUACACUGUUUAUUCACCAACACUUUAUUUAAUAAAAGUCCCAUCUAGUUUUUAUGAGGAAUGUGGUGUUUUAAUUUCUCUGUGAAUAACUGCAGUCUAAUGCAACAGCUGGAGUUGUAACAUCUGUCCUGAUAUUGAUCAUGAAGUAUUGAUCAGAAUACUUAUGGUCAGCAGUCAUCCCUGAAGUUUUACAUUAAAAUCUUUACUUGUGUUGUGAACUUUGGCAAGAAGCAGAAACGUUAGUGUUGCCAUGGAUACAUGAGUGUUAAAUUCUGUCCAUGUUUUAUUUUGGGAAUGCAGUCCAGUUCCAGAAUGUGGAGGAAUUUAUUCUCAAUCACAGACAACAAAUAUUAUCUGAAAGUUGGGUUAUUGUUGUUUAUCAGCACAAUACAAAAAGAUUAAUGUUAGAAAUAUUCCAGUUCAGACUCUAGAAUAUCAUGAUUUAUGUAAAUUUACCUCAAUAAUAUGAAUGUUCAGGUUAAGAUUGUACAGUGAUAUUUAUUAUGUAAGUUUAGCUGAUUAAAGUUUAAGACUCUGCACCAAAAUAUUAUUUAAAUUGACAGCAAUAUUAUUUGACACAAAUCUAUCUAAAUCAAAAUUUUAAUAAUUUUCACACCAAACAUUUACUGGACUGAUUUAAACAUUAAAAUCACUCCUUUCUAAUCCUCUGCUGUAUGUUCAAACCUGAGGCCUUAAAUAGAAACACACAAGUAUCUGAUUGAAGGAACUUCUGCAGAGUCUUGGUUCCAGAACAUGAUGAUAGAAUUAUAGACAAACUUUAACAAAAGCUGCAUGAGAGUUUACAGGUUUUUAUGUUGGAUUUCUUCAGUAAUUUAAUGAGUUAUCAGCAAAAAUCAAGUGUUUAUUUGAUGAACUUCAUUUCCUAAAACAUCCAGAAUUGGAGCUCAUAUCUUUGGCAGCUGUAAAGUUUCUGCUCCUUCAAAGUUCACAACACAAUGAAUGAAUUCCUAAAACACUCUCAAUGCUGGAGAGCGUUUGAUGCUGAAGCAGUGACCAGUUUUUCUGUUUCUUCUCUGGAGAUGCACAAUGAGGGACGUCUGCAGAGACUGAGAAAGAGUCUCACCACAUCCUGACAUGAGGAAAAAGACUUUAUUGAAGACUACAAUGAGAAAAACUAUCAGACAGCAGACGGCUGCAUUCAAGAGAAGAAGACCAUCAAACAUCCACGUCAGCUGAUGGAGGUCCAAGAGUCUCACCAAACAACCUACAGAGUGAAGACCUCGAAUCUGAUUGGACGGCCUCCUAUUCAGCCACAUUUUAGGCUGUUAGAUUGUUCCAGAUAAGACAAGUACAAGAUUCUUCAGAGCCGUUCCACCACGAGCCUGACAGGAAGAACUCCAACAGCUACUGAAUGUUCCUGUGGUCCCCUCAAGGCUACAGGAGGAGCCCUACGAGGACGAGCCGGUCCACCUGAUGGCGGCCAGUCGCUGCUUUUCAAAGCCAACACCGACUACGUGGACUUCUACUGGACCACACGGAGGCCUUCAAACCGGACCAACAAGUUCACCGACUCCCCGACUCGUGGGUCUGAGGACGCCGCUGAGCCUCGGCCCAGCCGGCCUCCUGUCUGUGGGUGUUUGAGUGCUGAGAGGUUUGUGGAUGCAUGUGAACGUUCUGUGUUGAAACAGCAGCUUUGGACUCACUAACGCCAGGAAAAACCAAGAGCUCCUUUAUUUGUGACUUCCACUAAAAAACUGAUGAAAAUAAGUUU
This is a long non-coding RNA of Amphiprion ocellaris (clown anemonefish), 1804 nucleotides long. NCBI's taxonomy places the organism in Eukaryota, Metazoa, Chordata, Actinopteri, Pomacentridae. The record is from Ensembl.